UGGGGGAAUAUUGCACAAUGGGGGGAAACCCUGAUGCAGCAACGCCGCGUGAGUGAUGACGGCCUUCGGGUUGUAAAGCUCUGUCUUCAGGGGACGAUAAUGACGGUACCUGAGGAGGAAGCCACGGCUAACUACGUGCCAGCAGCCGCGGUAAUACGUAGGUGGCGAGCGUUGUCCGGAUUUACUGGGCGUAAAGGGAGCGUAGGCGGAUUUUUAAGUGAGAUGUGAAAUACUCGGGCUUAACCUGAGUGCUGCAUUUCAAACUGGAAGUCUAGAGUGCAGGAGAGGAGAAGGGAAUUCCUAGUGUAGCGGUGAAAUGCGUAGAGAUUAGGAAGAACACCAGUGGCGAAGGCGCUUCUCUGGACUGUAACUGACGCUGAGGCUCGAAAGCGUGGGGAGCAAACAGGAUUAGAUACC
RNAcentral lists this ribosomal RNA (417 nucleotides) under uncultured bacterium. Its description in RNAcentral is "bacterial SSU rRNA". It matches the Rfam family "Bacterial small subunit ribosomal RNA", at positions 354 to 786 of the family's 1533-position model. The record is from RNAcentral.